GCCUCUGUGGUGGAAUGGUAGACACGUCGGUUUCAAAAACCGAUGCUUCAUGCAUAAGGGUUCAAGUCCCUUCGGAGGCA
This 80-nucleotide transfer RNA is filed under the name Nephroselmis olivacea. RNAcentral describes it as "tRNA-Leu". It matches the Rfam family "tRNA". Rfam says of the family: Transfer RNA (tRNA) molecules are approximately 80 nucleotides in length. Their secondary structure includes four short double-helical elements and three loops (D, anti-codon, and T loops). The record is from RNAcentral. Lineage: Eukaryota; Viridiplantae; Chlorophyta; Nephroselmidophyceae; Nephroselmidales; Nephroselmidaceae.